UGGCCCUGAGCUGACAUCCAUGCCCAUCUUCCUCCACUUUAUGUGUGGGACGCCUACCACAGCAUGGCUUGCCAAGCAGUGCUAUGCCCGCACCCGGAAUCCAUACUGGCAAACCUUGGGCCACCGAAGCAGAAUGUGCCAACUUAACCGCUGCACCACCGGGCUGGCCCUGCAAAAUAAUUUCAGGAGCUUCUGGGAAUGUGAUGGACAGGAUGCUUCAACACAUUUGGUGCUCUGUAGUAUAAAAGCUAGCUAACUGCAAACAGUAGGAAGGAAUUACAGCUAUAGUAAAUAGUAUGCUAUAAUGUCUACCAAUGUUGACAUGCAAUUGCCAAGUAGCAAGUAGCAUAAAACAUCAUAACAACAUUACUAUCUUAGCUUUAGAGUCUAAAGAAACUUUAGAAAGUAUCUCAUUUAAUCCUUACAUUUUAUAUACAAUAAAUAAAAAUAGCAAAUACUUGAGUUGUUAUAUCAUGACAGACACUGUUACAAGUGCUUUGACCAUACAACAUCAUUUAAUCUCACUGCCUCUGAGGUAGGUUACUAUUAUUGUUUACAGAUAAGGAAACAGAAUAACAGAGAGGUUAAGUCGUUUGCCCAAGAUCACACAGCUAAUGCCUGGUAGAUUUGAGCUUAGGAAGUCCGACUCCAGAGGUCUAAUUUUUCAAUUGCUACCCUCUAUGGGAACUUUCUAUCUGGAACUUUCACAUUUAAGAUGCUACUAGAAUGUACAUAUUAUUUUACAGUUUAUUUUAAAACUAAUCAUUACAAGCCAUUAUACAUCGUCCCUCAACUCAAAGAAAUAUUAAAACUUUUUGCAUCAUGUUUCCUUUUUUAGUUCUUUUGCAAAAGAGCAUGAGCAAGAACAUCACUUUUCUUUUGGAAUGAAAUGUGUGUUUGGCGAAGGGAAGGAGUUUGGACACCCUGCAUGUUUAUUUCUCAGUCUUGUCACAAACAUCAGUAUAUAGGAUAAAAAACAAUGCUGCCAAACACUCACCAUCAGAGAAUGCCUCAAGCAGAGCGAUACUGGGGCAAAAAGCUAGUUGUCAAUUUUGAUAGAAUGUAAAAGAUUUUAAUGCCUUUAGAUCCAUAAGCACCAGGAAGUGGCAAAAUGGCAAUCAUAAUAGAACAGAAAAACACAAUUCUGAUACGUUCCAAGAUUGGUAAUCGUGUCUGAAGAACUAGGAAGUGGUAAAAAAAGAGAAGAGUUUAAAAAAACACAAAUUCUGAAGUGAUCCAAAAGUUCUAAUUGUGUCAGAUUUUAUGUAAUUUUGGUUUUCUUUAGUAGAUAAUGUAUACUUAAUAAACAUACACAAAUAUUUAUGAUCAUAUAUUGGUUGGACAGAAGACUAAGAAGGAAAUGCAUAGUUUUCAGCGUAUUACUAUGGUUAUCCAUUACCAGGAGCAUGCAUGGAAGCGCAAUGUUACUCGUGAAGCAAAAGCAACGUGAUUUUUGCCCCAGCUGGUUCUGUAUCAAACAAACGCUGCUGGCAGCAGUAAUAAUGACGUGAACAUAAAACCUUCUUUGUCUAACAUUCCUGACAAAUGCUUGAUUGUCCAGGAGAAGCCAUUUGUAUUUUUCUGAAAUCUUGCAGGAUGCCGUGUCACUAUUUUUCAUGAAGAAUUGUCUUUGCCGGGUGUAGGUGUUCUCUAACGCAUGUCUCCAAGGGCUGAUUUCUCUACAGAUAAUCAGCACACGGAUCCUCCGAACCAGCAAAGCAGCGUUGACUCCUCAAACCAACGACACGCCUGCGGGCUCUGGGGAACUUGAAAGAAAAUGAUUUCUACUGGAAAAGACUGCUUGAAAUCAGAAGAGACAACCUUACCUUAGCACGUCAGACUUAUGCAUGAUGAAGAAAGUUACGGUCAUCGCACAUUUGAGCCCUAGUGUAUGAAUUCUGCCUUGGGUAUGUGGGAGAUUGUGGGUGGAAAUUGUGGGCAGAACUUCCUCAUAGAAGGGCCCUACUUUCCUCACCACUCCCCACUGCAGCCUGGCUUGCCAACCCGCCUUCCCCCGAGUCAGAGGCUCCCAAAGCACCCUGUGCUUCUCAUUUGCAGAACCCAUCGCCCUUCUAGUUAUUCCCUUGCCAUUUAUCUUCCUAGCUGGGCUGGGGGCUCCUGGAAUGCUGGGGUGGUCUCUCUCCUUCACCGUCCAAUACCCUGCAUGCAAGACCUGAGGCAAAGCUGCACGUGGAGGCCCUGGGCCUUAGUCCACCCCACUUUCUCCUCCGACCUUGCACACCCCAGCCUUACACACUCAAGCUCCAUCCUCCCCCACCCCACCAUAGCUAGUCCUUUGCCUCCUCCCCAGGGCCAUUUGGACAGGGAAUUCUGGAGUCUUGAGCAUCUGCAUCAUGGCUUCAAAAGGGGGGAAUGGGCCACAGUCAGCUCUCUAGAUUGUGGGGCCCAGGGCAGGAGUAGUGGUUGCCUGGGUGUAAGGGGAAUGUUGCCAACACACAAGAAACAUUGUUGAAUGGAUGAUUAACAGUUACUAUGCUGAAGCGCUGCCACAGACAGAUAGCAUUAAGCCGGACCUCUGGGGGCCCUGAAAACGGGAGGCUAGGCAGCAGGUUCCCCUGGAAGAGAGGGCAGUCUGAGGACAGGCAAUGUAGAGUCUGGAUGAAACACUCACUGUAGCUUAUUGUACUCUUGCUAUUAUUUUUCGUUACUUUUCUGUAAACUUUAAGGGCAUUCGUUGCAGAGAAAGUUCCAUCUACCUGGGUGUCUAUUUAAUAAAGAGAUAAUCUCAGGACUUCUCAGAAAUGACUCAAACCAACAGAAGUUGGACACCCUGAGAAAUAACCUGGCCCUCAAGUUCUUUCCCUGUCUGUCACCAGUCAUUCCGAGAUCCACAUAGCAUUUCUAACUCAUUCUUCACAAUGUAUACAAAGUGUAGAUUACAAACAAGAUUGCAAGGCAAGGUAAAUUCUGUGUUGUUUACCUGGCAGGUAAACUAUGGGGUGGAGGCCAAUUUGUCUUCAUAAAACAAAUAUAAAAUCCAAACAGAAAUGUUUGCUAUAUGAAAACAAAAUCAUCUCUCUUACAACGGGACCAAUGCUAUGAGCGGUUUUGAAGUUAAAGUUCGGGAAUAGCGUGAAAACGGACUGCUGGGAGAAUCUUCACGGAGCAGCACAGAAAGUUCCUGGAGAUGAAUCAGAACUCCGUUUGUUUUCCUCAAUUCUUUUAUCUUAAGGAUACAAGAAUGAUUCUGAGAGAUUUAGACUGUGCCUCACUGUAAAAGGAGAAAAAGAAAAGGGGGGGUGUAUGUUCAGUAGACAGGAACUCCAUUAAAGAACGAAUUGACAAUUACUUAGAAGUCAGGAAGCCAAUUUUAAAAUCAAUAUGUUGCUUGAGAAGGAUAACAUGAUGUAGUGUCAAAGUAGGAAGCAUUAUCAAAGCUACACGUACUUUGCAUCGGUCCUUAAGGAGUCCUGGUCAAUGCUGAGACAGCUGAGAAAGGAGAUCUGAAAGCAGAGUUACAACCUGACCAAAAUCUUUACACUCUACAGACCAAACCGUACAAUACAGAGUGAAGCCAGAGGCAGGUGUGAGUUUCUUUUAUACUCACAUUUGCUUGGUUUUAAUGCAACUGUAAAAGAACACCCCCAUCCGUGCUCUGCCCCCAUCCCUAGAAUAAAUAGCAUAGCUACAAACAAGAACAACCACGGAAUUGGGUCCCUUGCGUCCCGCUCAGAUUCUUGGUGGCACUGCAAAAGGAAAUUUUGAAGGUUAUUAAAGGGGAAGCUGAAAACAAAGGGAGAUUCAAAAUAAAUUGCAUGAAAUGAAUUUUCCUCAUCUCUGCUUUAGUUUGUGAGAAAUUCAGCGUCAUCCACCGAUGUACAUCAUUGAAGAAUAAUUUCAACUUGUUCAUCUGAGGGAGCAGAAAUAUAUUUAAUUUGUGGAAGAAUUAGCCGUAAUUUGCAGUACCGUUUUCACAUUGAGGAGGUGCUCAGCAAAAGUGUACUCUGGGAGGAAGGAAAGGCAGAUGGCUGGAAUGGAACGAUGAAGAAGGAACCAAGGUUCUCUCUUCAAUGUUUGUGAUCUUGCAAAGAAGGUGGCAUUAUCUCCAGUUCACAGAUGAGGAAACUGAGGCACAUGGAAAGUAACAUUCUCAAAAUCCUAUGUUACUGAUUGAUCUGUGAUCUAUUAUUGCUUUCCGUGAGAAAAAAAAUACUGCCAGCUGCCCCCAAAAUUGCCAUAUUCAGGAGAAUGUGGCUGGGGCCUGUGUGACUGUUCCUGAAGGUGUUGCAUUAGAAGGCCACGGCCAUGAUCACUUCCUUGAUGGCAUCCUACACUGAUUGUGUUCCCAGGCUCAUUAUGGAUUGCUAGACAUGGCAGGCUUCUGACUCAUUUGUAACCAACAGAAUGUGGCUAAAGUGACUCUGUGUGACUUCCAAGGCUUGGACAGAAAAGGUGAUUGUGCUUCUGCCUUGCUCUUCCUAACACUUGUGCUGAAACCCUAAGCUAUGGUGCAAGAAGUUCAACUGCCCGAAGCCCUCCUGCUGUAAGGGAGCCCAGGCCAUAUGAAGAGGCCGCGCAUAGGCCUUGCAGCCAACAGCCCACGCUCAUGUCCCAGCCGCCAGCCAUCUCAGAUGCCCAGUCUAGGUCAGCCUCCAGAUGAGUGAGCUUUUAUCCUACUACCAUCUCUAGAGAGACCCCCAAGCAAGAACUGUCCUGCUGAGCCCGUCUUAAAUUCCUGACCUACAACUUUUUGAGAAAAACAAAAAUGGAAAAAUUGGGGUACUUUGCUAUAUAGCAAUAGUAACCAAAACACAUGCUUAAAACAAACAAAUAAACAGACAAACUUGGCAGCAUAGCUGUGAACUCUUUAGGUUCAUUCUAUUUCCUUCUGCAUCAUUUUAAUGGUUUCAUAGCAUUUUUAUUGUUUAGAAAUAACAUACUGUUUUUAAACUCUUCCCCCAGUGUUGAAUACUAGAUUACUUUGCCUUCUAGCUAAACCUUCUGGCUAAAUCUCUGGACAUAUCUAUGAUUUCUUUCUAUUUUUAAAAAUUUUUUUAAAUAAUUUUUUAUUUUUAUUUAUUUUUGAGGAAGGUUAG
Equus caballus (horse) is the source of this 5057-nucleotide non-coding RNA. NCBI's taxonomy places the organism in Eukaryota, Metazoa, Chordata, Mammalia, Perissodactyla, Equidae. The record is from RefSeq and is a predicted model, not a curated record.